AUACUUUUCUCAGCCUUUCGGCUAAGAUCAAGUAGUAUCUGUUCUUUAUCAGUUUAAUAUUUGGUAUGUGCGCGUUCACCCAAUAUUAAAUUUAUUUUUUUAGGAGAAGGGCUCACCACAGUAGCUUGCUAUUGCGCCUUUAAGCGUCGCCCAUGUUUUGCAUUAUAGCACGGGCCUGGCGCACCCCUC
Small nuclear RNA from Cornus florida, 189 nucleotides. RefSeq annotates it as U2 spliceosomal RNA. The record is from RefSeq and is a predicted model, not a curated record. Lineage: Eukaryota; Viridiplantae; Streptophyta; Magnoliopsida; Cornales; Cornaceae. The transcript has a single exon.